AUAUAAGCAGGUUAACAGCAAAGUAUCCAUAUUUCAUACUUAUCACUAUGAUAUAAAGAAAACUCAAGAACACUAACGUUAAAACACUAGAAAUUAUCAAAAUUUUAAUAAUCUACCUGGUAAUAACUGAUUGAAUCAAGGAUCAUACAGGAUACAAAAAAAUCAGAUCAAAGUUUAUUGGAAAAGGACAUUUACAUGAUCUCAAUCUAUCUCCCCAUAGAUUAAUUAUUAAUAACAAAGGGAAAAAUGGUAACUUUAGAGAAAAUAAGCUUGUUGGACACCACCUUAACCACGGCAUUUACGUUAACAUCGUUAGUAAGUGAAGAAACAGGCAUCGUGUAUGUAAUGCACAGGAAGGACACACCAUCUUUUAUGUAGAUCUCUUAAACAACGCUCCUGCCAAAAAAUGCAAAACCUGAACAAAUUUAUGAAGAAACAGAACCAAAAUGAGGAACAUUCUGAAAAAACAACUGGCCUUUGAAAAUACCAAUGUCCUGAAAGUCAAAGAGAAUAAUUUCCACUGGAGGAGAUUAAGGGAAAACAAAAAAACAUGGCAACUACAUUAAGUGCAUGAUUCCAGACUAAUCAGUUGGGGAAAAUGCUAUAAAGAUACUAUUGGGAAACCUAUCAAAAUUUGAUAGACUGUCAAAAUCCCCAUAUAAUAGAAAUGUACUAAAGUUAAUUUUCUGAAUAUGAUCAUUGUACUGUGGUACAGUAUACAGAAUUUCAUUGUGCUAUUCUUGCUUCUACAGAUUUGAAUUUUUACAAAAUUAAAAAAAAAAAAAAAAAAGGAAAUCUUAAUAGUCUCUUUCCAGAGGGGGAAAUUUUUUUUUCUUCAUUUAAAGAUAAAAGUCUUAAUACAUUAUAUUUCAAUUACAAACAUUUUUAAAAGUUAAAUGAGGUGCUAUGAACUAGAUAUGAGGUAUUCAAGAAAUGUGUUUAAAUGCAAUUGAAAUUCAGGUAUAACCUUUACUGAAAAACUGGUGGGGUGGUGAUAUUGGAAUGAUUCCACUUAUGCACACUGAUAUUUCAUAUAAAGUAUUUACUCAAAUGAAGGGAGAAGAAUAUCAGGUGGGGGAAAAUAUAAUUUUUAGUUACAAGGCAUCGUGUUAACUAACAGCCUUCCACACAUUAUCUUAUGUAAGCCUUACAGCAACAUUAUGAAAUAUUACCUCCAUCACCUUAUUUCAGAUGAAAAGACUCAGAAAAGUUAACACGUUGCUCAAAGCCACACAGCUAAUAAAUGCAAAACAAAAAUUCAAAACUGUAUUCCUCAGAUUCCAACAUUUAAGCCACAGGUCAGAGCCUUAUUUAUAAAGAAUAAAAGGUAAAGUGCUCCCUAAAUUAAGGAUAAUGAUUGGAUAAUGUCCAGAAUAAGGGGAAGAGAAUGAUUAAAUUCAUGUAAGAUAAAACUAUAAGAAGGCAAUUUUAGACCAUGUUAGAAUUUGUUUUUUAUUCUUAGAGCAAUAUAAAGAUACUGGAGGACUUUUAAAACUGGAGGUGAAAUGACUAGCUUGGAGUGGCAGGGACUGACUACAGUGUGAAGAAAAACUCAAAGAAAUAUAAAAAGAAUAGAAAGGCCAGAGCUCCCAAAAUGAAUCUGUGAAGGAACUUAUUAGCAAAUCAUCUCUCCUGAAAGCAAGGAAAAAACAGGAAAAGAUUUUCAAACAUAACGUCUCUGAAAAUUGAUCAAAUGAUAUACAACAAAAUGAGAAGCACUUAUUCAAGAAAAUUUGGUAAAAUCUCAGUUAAGAAAUACAGUAUCUCAGCUAGAGGUUACUAGCUAGCAUCACCAUCCACAGUACUGCUAGGUUUGUGGCACGGAAGUUCUACCCCAAGCGGCCACAGCAGGCCAUAAAGACUGGCAGCUAACUGGCCCUGAAAGACAGGGCUGAAUUUAUUUCAAGCGCUUAACGGAAAAAUCUGUGCCUAGGAAUAGUGUCAAAAAACGAGGGCUCUCUCAGUGGCAAACAAUCCCAGCAGCAAUGGUUGAGGAAGGCAACAAAAUGGCACACCAGACGUAAAUUUAAUAAGGAGAUCCUGGGUAAGAGACAACUAAAGAGGGCCCCCUAAAAUGCACACUCAUCCUUGUUGGUCAGGAAGGCUGUGUGCAUGCAUGAGGCUGCUCCGGCUCAAGAGACACCAGAGAGAACCCUUGAAAAUUAGUCUCUGGCUGAAUGUGGGAUGAACAUUAAACCUUCUAAAAUUUGAAAAGAUUCCCCAAACCACGAACAGAUUCAAAGAAAAAUGAUGAAACAUUUACUGGCUCAAGACAUUUAGGUAAUCAAUCAUUAGCAGACCACUAAAAUACAGUGAUCCAGGGGCAAACCCUAGAAAGUCAGGCAUACAAAAA
Molecule: long non-coding RNA, 2353 nt
Organism: Phyllostomus discolor (pale spear-nosed bat)
Lineage: Eukaryota; Metazoa; Chordata; Mammalia; Chiroptera; Phyllostomidae
Exons: 2
Source: RefSeq, a predicted model, not a curated record